UACGAAGGGGGCUAGCGUUGCUCGGAAUCACUGGGCGUAAAGCGCACGUAGGCGGACUUUUAAGUCAGGGGUGAAAUCCUGGAGCUCAACUCCAGAACUGCCCUUUGAUACUGGAAGUCUUGAGUUCGAGAGAGGUGAGUGGAACUGCGAGUGUAGAGGUGAAAUUCGUAGAUAUUCGCAAGAACACCAGUGGCGAAGGCGGCUCACUGGCUCGAUACUGACGCUGAGGUGCGAAAGCGUGGGGAGCAAACAGG
This 254-nucleotide ribosomal RNA is filed under the name uncultured bacterium. RNAcentral's name for it is "partial 16S ribosomal RNA". It matches the Rfam family "Bacterial small subunit ribosomal RNA", at positions 524 to 776 of the family's 1533-position model. The record is from RNAcentral.